AGAGUUUGAUCCUGGCUCAGGACGAACGCUGGCGGCGUGCUUAACACAUGCAAGUCGAACGGAAAGGCCCUUCGGGGUACUCGAGUGGCGAACGGGUGAGUAACACGUGGGUGAUCUGCCCUGCACUUUGGGAUAAGCCUGGGAAACUGGGUCUAAUACCGAAUAUGACCACGCGCUUCAUGGUGUGUGGUGGAAAGCUUUUGCGGUGUGGGAUGGGCCCGCGGCCUAUCAGCUUGUUGGUGGGGUAAUGGCCUACCAAGGCGACGACGGGUAGCCGGCCUGAGAGGGUGACCGGCCACACUGGGACUGAGAUACGGCCCAGACUCCUACGGGAGGCAGCAGUGGGGAAUAUUGCACAAUGGGCGCAAGCCUGAUGCAGCGACGCCGCGUGAGGGAUGACGGCCUUCGGGUUGUAAACCUCUUUCAAUAGGGACGAAGCGCAAGUGACGGUACCUAUAGAAGAAGGACCGGCCAACUACGUGCCAGCAGCCGCGGUAAUACGUAGGGUCCGAGCGUUGUCCGGAAUUACUGGGCGUAAAGAGCUCGUAGGUGGUUUGUCGCGUUGUUCGUGAAAACUCACAGCUUAACUGUGGGCGUGCGGGCGAUACGGGCAGACUAGAGUACUGCAGGGGAGACUGGAAUUCCUGGUGUAGCGGUGGAAUGCGCAGAUAUCAGGAGGAACACCGGUGGCGAAGGCGGGUCUCUGGGCAGUAACUGACGCUGAGGAGCGAAAGCGUGGGGAGCGAACAGGAUUAGAUACCCUGGUAGUCCAA
Molecule: ribosomal RNA, 773 nt
Filed under: uncultured bacterium
Lineage: Bacteria
Description: bacterial SSU rRNA
Rfam family: Bacterial small subunit ribosomal RNA
Source: RNAcentral